RNAcentral lists this long non-coding RNA (257 nucleotides) under Mytilus galloprovincialis (Mediterranean mussel). The record is from RNAcentral. Lineage: Eukaryota; Metazoa; Mollusca; Bivalvia; Mytilida; Mytilidae.
GUCUUUUAAAUAUGGGAUUAUCUGGUUCGUUUACUGGGAGAUCAAAUAUCAUGUUCUCGAUGUAGUUCCAGUAGGAUCUUCUCAUAUCUGUUUGAAUUGAUUUUUUGAGAUGCUUGUACUUUUUCUUCAGUUGUUCAUUUUUUCUACUCUUUUUAUGAAGUCGUUUUGCUUUGUUGAUAUCAAUUUUAAGCUUGUUGUUAACCCAUGGUAGUUUUUUCUUGUUUGUAACUAUUUUGUGAGGGAUAUUAGCUUCUACU